GACGAACGCUGGCGGCGUGCCUAAUACAUGCAAGUCGAACGAUGAAACUUAGAUGAUUUCUUCGGAAUGAACUUAAGUGGAUUAGUGGCGAACGGGUGAGUAACACGUGGGGAACCUGCCCCUAAGUCUGGGAUACCAUUUGGAAACAGGUGCUAAUACCGGAUAAUAAAGCAAAUCGCAUGAUCAGCUUUUGAAAGGCGGCGUAAGCUGUCGCUAAGGGAUGGCCCCGCGGUGCAUUAGCUAGUUGGUAAGGUAACGGCUUACCAAGGCGACGAUGCGUAGCCGAGUUGGGAGACUGAUCGGCCACAUUGGGACUGAGACACGGCCCAAACUCCUACGGGAGGCAGCAGUAGGGAAUCUUCCACAAUGGACGCAAGUCUGAUGGAGCAACGCCGCGUGAGUGAAGAAGGUUUUCGGAUCGUAAAGCUCUGUUGUUGGUGAAGAAGGAUAGAGG
This 454-nucleotide ribosomal RNA is filed under the name uncultured Lactobacillus sp. RNAcentral describes it as "bacterial SSU rRNA". It matches the Rfam family "Bacterial small subunit ribosomal RNA", at positions 28 to 458 of the family's 1533-position model. Lineage: Bacteria; Bacillati; Bacillota; Bacilli; Lactobacillales; Lactobacillaceae. The record is from RNAcentral.